CAGAGUACGUGAAACCGUUUAGGGGUAAACCUGAGAAACCCGAAAGGUCGAAGGGAGAAAUUCAUUCGCGUUUCGACGCAGGCGUCGGACGGGGUUCAGUGCGACGAGACGCGCGUUCUUUACCGGACGUGAGACAGUUUCGCGCCCUCCGUACUUCGAACCGGCGACGAACGCGUGCACUUUUCUCUUGGUAGGACGUCGCGAUCCGUCGGGUGUCGGUCUACGACUUGCGGUGGAGCCCGUCCGUCACUGUCAUCGUACUUUGACGGACGGACCCGCUCGUUCCGGCCGACUCGCUCGACGGUAUACGAAUGGUCGGAGGCCGCUCGUAAAUAGCUUUUCACUAUUGGAAAGUUAUGGGGAGCGUUCGACUCGUCGCAAGCGCGCCACGUGCGUCGUUACGCGGACCCGGUGCCGCGUUCGACCUCUGGUGACUGUUGGCGACGAUGUUCUCGAACAGACCUCUUUUCUCACUCUCCUUCUCCGCGAGAUCGAAAGGUCGAACGGGGGAUGGGGAGCCCAGAGAGAGACCGAUCGGCGACGCUAUAGCUUUGGGUACUUUCAGGACCCGUCUUGAAACACGGACCAAGGAGUCUAGCAUGUGCGCGAGUCAUUGGGAAUCACUAAACCUAAAGGCGUAAUGAAAGUGAAGGUUUUCCUAGCGAAGACCGAGGGAAGACGGAUUCGUCGGUUUCUAUUUUUGGAAAACGAGAGAGCGAUCUCUCGGACCGCGGUCCCGCAUUCCCGGGGCGUCUCGUUCACAUUGCGUGAAGAGGCGCACCAAGAGCGUACACGCUGGGACCCGAAAGAUGGUGAACUAUGCCUGGUCAGGACGAAGUCAGGGGAAACCCUGAUGGAGGUCCGUAGCGAUUCU
This 874-nucleotide ribosomal RNA is filed under the name Streptocranus longispinis. RNAcentral's name for it is "eukaryotic LSU rRNA". It matches the Rfam family "Eukaryotic large subunit ribosomal RNA", at positions 391 to 887 of the family's 3401-position model. The record is from RNAcentral. Lineage: Eukaryota; Metazoa; Arthropoda; Insecta; Coleoptera; Curculionidae.